RNAcentral lists this ribosomal RNA (120 nucleotides) under Dasypus novemcinctus (nine-banded armadillo). The record is from RNAcentral. Lineage: Eukaryota; Metazoa; Chordata; Mammalia; Cingulata; Dasypodidae.
GUCUACGGCCAUACCACCGUGAACGUGCCGGAUCUCGUCUGAUCUCGGAAGCUAAGCAGGGUGGGGCCUGGUUAGUACUUGGAUGGGAGAAAUAGUCUGGGUUCUAACUACCUGAAGCCA